GAUGAGCGCUGGCGGCGUGCCUAAUACAUGCAAGUCGAGCGAACAGACGAGGAGCUUGCUCCUCUGACGUUAGCGGCGGACGGGUGAGUAACACGUGGAUAACCUACCUAUAAGACUGGGAUAACUUCGGGAAACCGGAGCUAAUACCGUAUAACAUGUUGAACCGCAUGGUUCAACAGUGAAAGACGGUCUUGCUGUCACUUAUAGAUGGAUCCGCGCCGCAUUAGCUAGUUGGUAAGGUAACGGCUUACCAAGGCAACGAUGCGUAGCCGACCUGAGAGGGUGGUCGGCCACACUGGAACUGAGACACGGUCCAGACUCCUACGGGAGGCAGCAGUAGGGAAUCUUACGCAAUGGGCGAAAGCCUGACGGAGCAAGGCCGCGUGAGUGAUGAAGGUCUUCGGAUCGUAAAACUCUGUUAUUAGGGAAGAACAAAUGUGUAAGUAAAUAUGCACGUCUUGACGGUACCGAAUCAGAAAGCCACGGCUAACUACGUG
Molecule: ribosomal RNA, 497 nt
Filed under: uncultured bacterium
Lineage: Bacteria
Description: partial 16S ribosomal RNA
Rfam family: Bacterial small subunit ribosomal RNA
Source: RNAcentral